This 306-nucleotide ribosomal RNA is filed under the name Clostridioides difficile. Its description in RNAcentral is "partial 23S ribosomal RNA". It matches the Rfam family "Bacterial large subunit ribosomal RNA", at positions 2617 to 2925 of the family's 2925-position model. The record is from RNAcentral. Lineage: Bacteria; Bacillati; Bacillota; Clostridia; Peptostreptococcales; Peptostreptococcaceae.
CGUCGUGAGACAGUUCGGUCCCUAUCCGUCGCAGGCGUAGGAAAUUUGAGAAGACCUGUCCUUAGUACGAGAGGACCGGGAUGGACGUACCUCUGGUGUACCAGUUGUCCUGCCAAGGGCAUAGCUGGGUAGCUAUGUACGGAAUGGAUAAGCGCUGAAAGCAUCUAAGCGCGAAGCCAACUUCAAGAUAAGAUUUCCCACCGCAAGGGUAAGACCCCAGAAAGACUAUCUGGUUGAUAGGUCGAAGGUGUAAGUGCAGCAAUGUAUUUAGCUUAUCGAUACUAAUAGGUCGAGGACUUGACCAAU